AUUGGACGCUGGCGGCAGGCUUAACACAUGCAAGUCGAGCGGGGUGAUGGUGCUUGCACUAUCACUUAGCGGCGGACGGGUGAGUAAUGCUUAGGAAUCUGCCUAUUAGUGGGGGACAACAUCUCGAAAGGGAUGCUAAUACCGCAUACGUCCUACGGGAGAAAGCAGGGGAUCACUUGUGACCUUGCGCUAAUAGAUGAGCCUAAGUCGGAUUAGCUAGUUGGUGGGGUAAAGGCCUACCAAGGCGACGAUCUGUAGCGGGUCUGAGAGGAUGAUACGCCACACUGGGACUGAGACACGGCCCAGACUCCUACGGGAGGCAGCAGUGGGGAAUAUUGGACAAUGGGGGGAACCCUGAUCCAGCCAUGCCGCGUGUGUGAAGAAGGCCUUAUGGUUGUAAAGCACUUUAAGCGAGGAGGAGGCUCUUUUGGUUAAUACCCAAGAUGAGUGGACGUUACUCGCAGAAUAAGCACCGGCUAACUCUGUGCCAGCAGCCGCGGUAA
RNAcentral lists this ribosomal RNA (503 nucleotides) under uncultured bacterium. RNAcentral's name for it is "partial 16S ribosomal RNA". It matches the Rfam family "Bacterial small subunit ribosomal RNA", at positions 30 to 523 of the family's 1533-position model. The record is from RNAcentral.